Molecule: small nuclear RNA, 102 nt
Organism: Mastomys coucha (southern multimammate mouse)
Lineage: Eukaryota; Metazoa; Chordata; Mammalia; Rodentia; Muridae
Source: RefSeq, a predicted model, not a curated record
GAGUUAGGCAGCACAUAUACUAAAAUUGGAAUGGUACAAAGAAGAUUAGCAUGGACCCUGUGCAAGGAUAACUUGAAAAUUUGUGAAGUGCUCCAUAUUUUU